AUUGAACGCUGGCGGCAGGCCUAACACAUGCAAGUCGAGCGGAUGAAGGGAGCUUGCUCCUGGAUUCAGCGGCGGACGGGUGAGUAAUGCCUAUGAAUCUUCCUGGUAGUGGGGGAUAACGUCCGGAAACGGGCGCUAAUACCGCAUACGUCCUGAGGGAGAAAGUGGGGGAUCUUCUGACCUCACGCUAUCAGAUGAGCCUAGGUCGGAUUAGCUAGUUGGUGGGGUAAAGGCCUACCAAGGCGACGAUCCGUAACUGGUCUGAGAGGAUGAUCAGUCACACUGGAACUGAGACACGGUCAAGACUCCUACGGGAGGCAGCAGUGGGGAAUAUUGGACAAUGGGCGAAAGCCUGAUCCAGCCAGGCCGCGUGUGUGAAGAAGGUCUUCGGAUUGUAAAGAACUUUAAGUUGGGAGGAAGGGCAGUAAGUUAAUAACUUGCUGUUUUGACGUUACCAACAGAAUAAGCACCGGCUAACUUCGUG
This 484-nucleotide ribosomal RNA is filed under the name uncultured bacterium. RNAcentral describes it as "partial 16S ribosomal RNA". It matches the Rfam family "Bacterial small subunit ribosomal RNA", at positions 30 to 507 of the family's 1533-position model. The record is from RNAcentral.